Molecule: transfer RNA, 61 nt
Filed under: Dorcus cervulus
Lineage: Eukaryota; Metazoa; Arthropoda; Insecta; Coleoptera; Lucanidae
Description: tRNA-Tyr
Source: RNAcentral
GGUAAAAUGGCUGAGUAUAGGCGGUAAGCUGUAAACUUAUUUACGAAUUUUUUCUUUUGCC